CAUCCCCACGCCCACGUCCACGCUCUCCAACAACAGAACCACAACAAGGGCCCAGUGGAGGACUUUCAGAACCAGGAAGGCCAGAACAUGGGUGGCAUGGAACAACAAGCCGGUGUCGAAUCCCUCCAGUUUGAAUAUGCAGGGAACCAGAUUCAAGUGGACUCCUCCGGAACCCCAGUGGGGUUGUUUGACUACAGCUCGCAGCAGCAGUUAUUCCAGCGGUCAAAUCCCCUCACGGUCCAGCAACUCACAGCAGCCCAGCAGCAACAAUAUGCCCUGGCAGCGGCUCAACAGCAGCACCUUGGUAACGUUGCCGUAUAAU
This is a long non-coding RNA of Hippocampus comes (tiger tail seahorse), 322 nucleotides long. RefSeq lists it as uncharacterized. Lineage: Eukaryota; Metazoa; Chordata; Actinopteri; Syngnathiformes; Syngnathidae. The record is from RefSeq and is a predicted model, not a curated record. The transcript is spliced from 2 exons.